Molecule: transfer RNA, 83 nt
Filed under: Schistocephalus solidus
Lineage: Eukaryota; Metazoa; Platyhelminthes; Cestoda; Diphyllobothriidea; Diphyllobothriidae
Rfam family: tRNA
About the family: Transfer RNA (tRNA) molecules are approximately 80 nucleotides in length.
Source: Rfam by way of RNAcentral
GGCCUCGUAGCUUAGUCGACUAGAGCGUUGGCUGUACUAAAGUCUUCCCCUUGCUGGCGUGGGUUCGUAUCCCACCAAGGCCA